Molecule: ribosomal RNA, 409 nt
Filed under: uncultured Flavobacterium sp.
Lineage: Bacteria; Pseudomonadati; Bacteroidota; Flavobacteriia; Flavobacteriales; Flavobacteriaceae
Description: bacterial SSU rRNA
Rfam family: Bacterial small subunit ribosomal RNA
Source: RNAcentral
AAGUCUGAACCAGCCAUGCCGCGUGGAGGAUGAAGGCCCUCUGGGUUGUAAACUUCUUUUAUAGGGGACGAAAAAGGGUCUUUCUAGAUCAACUGACGGUACCCUAGGAAUAAGCACCGGCUAACUCCGUGCCAGCAGCCGCGGUAAUACGGAGGGUGCAAGCGUUAUCCGGAUUCACUGGGUUUAAAGGGUGCGUAGGUGGGUUAGUAAGUCAGUGGUGACAUCUUCGAGCUUAACUCGGAAACUGCCAUUGAUACUAUUAGUCUUGAAUAUUGUGGAGGUUAGCGGAAUAUGUCAUGUAGCGGUGAAAUGCUUAGAUAUGACAUAGAACACCAAUUGCGAAGGCAGCUGGCUACACAUAUAUUGACACUGAGGCACGAAAGCGUGGGGAUCAAACAGGAUUAGAUAC